This 481-nucleotide long non-coding RNA is filed under the name Salmo salar (Atlantic salmon). RNAcentral describes it as "lncRNA (ENSSSAG00000104868.1)". The record is from RNAcentral. Lineage: Eukaryota; Metazoa; Chordata; Actinopteri; Salmoniformes; Salmonidae.
CUCCUCCCACAUGGCUGCUGGCUCCUCCUAUAACUCAACGGGGCCCUCCCCCAGCACCCAACCAAUCACAACAACACGCUUAUUAUAACAAAAGAGCCAGAGAGUGGAGGAGUUCAGUCUGUGGUGGUCUCAGCCGACCCCCCUCUAGCCAAGGUGAACAACACACACACACACACACACACACACACACACACACACACACACACACACACACACACACACACACACCUUCCAAAUGGAUCGGGUCUGUAAUAUCAGACGUCACGUUGUUGUUGCUACCAGAGUGUGUGUGUGUUGUUGUCUAUAGGGAUAUCGUGUUCCAGUGAUGGGUCAACCCCAGUCUGACGGUCACUCCUCCCUGCAGAGGACAGGUCCUCCACCCAGGUCCAAUCCUCCCAGACUUCCUGAAGGACCAGUCCAUUGGGACAGAUACAGCCCCUCAGGUCGUGGCAGGAACCAUAGCGACCGCGCCCCUCCCUCC